GUAUUCUUGCCUGGGAAAUCCCAUGAACAGAGGAGCCUGCACAUGUGUCGUCUUGAACAAUUCAUUUCCGAGUGUUAGACAAGAGCCCGGUGUUGGGCCCUGGAAGGGGUCCCCCUUCCUGCAACAAAUGGCGAUUCUGGCGGGGACUCUUCUUUGCUGCGACUGACAUCCUGACCACUCAGGGUACUCAGGGGCCAGCUUGCCUGCCAAUGGACCAGACCCAGUGGCUGCAACUGGGACCCUUUUGUCCCUGGUCUCCUCCUGACAUGGACAACUGGCCAGAGUGCCCCGACUGGGAACCGUGAUUUCAAUCAACAUAAUCCAUGGGCUGAUUGAUCCCUGCUGGUAAAUUUUAUUUUUAUAAAGAUAAUUCUCCAAGACUCAGCUCAGUCUGGCUACCCCUGAGAAGCUUUUUCUGACACCCGCUCCUCACAAACCUCAGCUCAGAGCUUUUCCUCUCUGCUCCCAGAGGAUGAGCCUGCAGUCUUCAAUAUGUUGUAGAGAUAUCUAGUCCUGGAGUCUUCUCAUCAGAGUUUAAAAAUAUUAGGUUGUUUAAAACUCUGGAGAGAUCAGAAGAGAAUGCUGAUGUCUUGAGCUGCUCACCACACAGACCCUUUGAGGUUUGGUUUUACCCCAAUUGAGACUGAGAAACUUGUGGACAAGACUGAACUGCCACCAUCAUUCCUCACCACCCUUAAAUAAAGACCUAAACUGAAGAGAUGAUAUUGGUGCCUGAGGUUUCCUCAGGCUUGAUUUCUGGGGAGAAGUGAACCAGAACACUUGCUGGUUUUCCAGCCUUUGUGUAUUAUAUCCUGCUCUGCAGCGAGCAUCCGUCCUAUCGAGUGACUGAGGCACAGCACACAGCCUUGACCUUCUCCAACCAGACUUAGCUCAGGAUUCAGGCUGGUUAUUGCUUUUUCUGCAAUCUGCUGUUUAGGUCAUAUUUACCAUAAGAGUCAACUUUACUGGAAAUGAUGGAGCAGGACCAAGUGCAUGACUUGUUGGAUCUUAGUUCCCUGACCAGGGGCUGGACCCACACCCUUGGCAGUGAAAGUAUAGAGUCCUAACUAUUGGACUGCCAGAAGAUUCCCAUGAAUGACACACAGUGCUAACACAGAGGAAAGAAAAAUGGAAAGACAGUGAGAAGCUUGGUCCAAAUGGAAUUGAGCCCCUGUAUGCAGUCUCACAGAGUCGGACACGACUGAAGCGACUUAGCAGCAGCAGCAGCAUGCAGUUAUGACUGAUUUAUACUGAGACUAUUCAGUUAUGUGACCUAAUAAAUCUGUCACCUACCCCCGCCCCCCCACCCCCACUGCCAUUCCCCCGGUCAUUUUUUUCACAGAAGCUAAUUUGAAUUGUGAAAGAUUCCAGCUAGGUGUCAGUCUCUAGCCAUGAAGUGUUACAAGUGAUAGACUUUAUUAUUUAUUUAUUUUUAUGUUUUGAGUUUUUAGCUGUCAGGCAUGUGGGAUCUUAGUUUCCUCACCAGGGAUUGAACCUGUACCACUUACUUUGAAAAGCUAAGUCUUAAACACUGGACUGCCAGGGAAGUGCCCAAGUGAUAGACUUUAAAAUUAGUACCAUCUAAGGUAGAAUGGAAAGUCAGGCGGGAUCUGACUACCCCUAGCUGAGAAGUUAGCUGUCUUUGUUAUGCUCUAACAAGGCAUCUAGUUAAAUUGUUGCCCAUUCUUUCUUGGAACACAGAGCGUGUGCCAUUUGAGACUGGAAUCAUUAAAGUCCUUGUAGAACGUCUUAGCCUGUGGAAUGUGUUGGCUGCUUCUUAAAGUGCUCAGUGAGUUUUUUAUGAGAAAGAGACAAGCUUCUUUCAAAGUUGGUCCAUCUAGAAGUAGAAAAAGAGGAAAAAAAUGUCGAUAAAAAAGGUCUUUUCUGCCUUUCAUAACUGAGAGCCAGGUGAAGUUAUACCUUGUAAGAGUGGAAGAGGUGAGUUCUCUGCCUUAUGAUGAAGUUUGUCCCAGCAAAAGCAGGAAGACUAGAAACAGAACAGAACAGAAGACUAAAACCAGGAAGCAGCCUGAGCUUGACUGCAGCUCAUCCUCAUGGUCAUCAAAAGACAUCAUGGUGGAGUGAAAAUAUGAGCCACAGGAUGGGAGAAGAUACUACAGCACAUGUAACUGACAAAGAGCCCAUAUCUGGAACUCCUAUAAGCAAAUAAGAGACAAACCAAUAGAAAAGUGGGCAGGACUGAUCAACAGGCCUUCACAAAAGGGACUAUCCAAAUAAAUAUGAGAAAAUGCUCAACCUCAUCUGUCAUGAGAGAAAUGCAAUGAAAACAAAUAGGAGAUCCCACUAUAGGUUCUGCCGGAACAGCUACAAUAAAGAAGACAGAUCAUACCCAUGUUGUUGAGGAACUGUUGGAGCCCACAGACACUUCUGGUAGGAAUGUAAAUAGGUAGUUUGGAAAAACUUGGUAUUAUCCAUUAGAAUUGAAUGUGUGCGUAUCCUAUUACCAAACAGUUCCACUCCUAGAUAUAUGAGUGCAUAUAUACCAAAAGGUGCAACAAUAUUCUUAGCAGCAUUGUUUGUAACAGUCCCAAAUUGGAAAACUUUCAACGCCUAUCAACAGCGAAUGGGUAAAUAAUUGCAAUGAACUCUAUAGUCCAAUGAACGCGAUCACACUAUUGCCAGCAUCACCAGGAGGACUAAAUCUGGUAGAUAUAAUUUUGAGUGAAGAAGCUUGACGUAACACAUCCUGUAGGGUUCCAUUUAUGUAAGCUUUGAAAUAAGCAAAAACAACCUACGGCGUUAGAAAUGAGGCGAAUGGAGACCCUGGGAAAAUGGGAGGAGGUCUGAUUGGGAUGGCACACAAGGGGCUUCUGAGAGCCCUGAUGUCCUAUUUCUUGACCUGGCACUGGUUACACUGGUGUGCUCACUUUGUGAUCAUUCAUGUGUGAUUUCAGCAUUUCUCUGUCAAUAACAUUAAAAAAAAUCUUCUAAUCAUAGGCUAUGGAAGAAGA
Long non-coding RNA from Bubalus bubalis (water buffalo), 2972 nucleotides. RefSeq lists it as uncharacterized. The record is from RefSeq and is a predicted model, not a curated record. NCBI's taxonomy places the organism in Eukaryota, Metazoa, Chordata, Mammalia, Artiodactyla, Bovidae. The transcript is spliced from 7 exons.